RNAcentral lists this ribosomal RNA (253 nucleotides) under Prevotellamassilia timonensis. RNAcentral's name for it is "partial 16S ribosomal RNA". It matches the Rfam family "Bacterial small subunit ribosomal RNA", at positions 524 to 776 of the family's 1533-position model. The record is from RNAcentral. Lineage: Bacteria; Pseudomonadati; Bacteroidota; Bacteroidia; Bacteroidales; Prevotellaceae.
UACGGAAGGUCCGGGCGUUAUCCGGAUUUAUUGGGUUUAAAGGGAGCGCAGGCGGACCUUUAAGUCAGCUGUGAAAUACGGCGGCUCAACCGUCGAACUGCAGUUGAUACUGGAGGUCUUGAGUGCACACAGGGAUGCUGGAAUUCAUGGUGUAGCGGUGAAAUGCUCAGAUAUCAUGAAGAACUCCGAUCGCGAAGGCAGGCAUUCGGGGUGCAACUGACGCUGAGGCUCGAAAGUGCGGGUAUCAAACAGG